UACGGAGGGUGCGAGCGUUGUCCGGAAUCACUGGGCGUAAAGGGCGCGUAGGUGGCGCGGCAAGUCAACGGUGAAAGCUCGACGCUCAACGUCGAGUCGGCCGUCGAUACUGCCGCGCUGGAGCACUGUAGAGGCUCAUGGAAUUCCGGGUGUAGCGGUGGAAUGCGUAGAGAUCCGGAAGAACAUCGGUGGCGAAGGCGGUGAGCUGGGCAGUUGCUGACACUGAGGCGCGACAGCGUGGGGAGCAAACAGG
Molecule: ribosomal RNA, 253 nt
Filed under: uncultured bacterium
Lineage: Bacteria
Description: partial 16S ribosomal RNA
Rfam family: Bacterial small subunit ribosomal RNA
Source: RNAcentral